UUGGUCUCGGAUGUCUUUC
Molecule: microRNA, 19 nt
Filed under: Spodoptera frugiperda (fall armyworm)
Lineage: Eukaryota; Metazoa; Arthropoda; Insecta; Lepidoptera; Noctuidae
Description: sfr-miR-10455-5p
Source: miRBase by way of RNAcentral